CUCCACUGCCUUGACCUCCAGUAAUUCUCCACCAAACUCCAAACUCUCCUUUUAUCCAUCUCAAAUCUCACUUGCCCUAACUCUGCAACCUCAUUCUACAACUCCACUCUCUCCUUUCAACUAUACAUCAUGGCACCUCCUAAAUUUAAGCACAGAAAGCGCUCCCAAUUUCAACCCUAGCACACCAAACUGAUCCGAUACCUCCAAAAAUGUUACAGAACUGCUGAAUACUGCUGGAGAAAGUCUCACUCUGCAUCUGACUUCCUCCGCUAUAAAUUUAUGCUGCGCUCCUACAGUUUGGCUCUUUCCUUUGGAAAAGUAAACUACUUCAACACUUUCAUAAGCUCACUGUCCCACCAACCCAAAUGCCUAGUUCACACUUUUAAUGCACUUCUUUGCCCUGUUGCUCCCCCUUCUCCUACCACCUUAUCCACCACACACUUUGCAACUCACUUCACUGAGAAGAUAUUUCCAAUCUGGGAAUAGAUCUCUAAUAACUCUCCCACCCCUACCAAUACUUCCCCCAACCCCACUCCCUCUGUUCUAUGCACAUUCGCACCCGCUACAGCACAAGAGGUUUCUGCUCUGUUCCAGUCCUCCCGUCCCACCACCUGUUCCCUCGAUCCUAUUCCCUCAUAUCUCAUCCGCACUCUGUCUCCCUCUUUUGCUCUCCCUCUCACUAAAAUUUUCAAUCUCUCCCUUUCUCUCCCCUCUGGCACAUUUCCUUCACCCUUCAAACAUGCAACCAUAAACCUGAUUCGGAGAAGGCCCAACCUUGACCCCUACUCCCCGUCCAACUACCACCCUAUCUCGCAACUGCCAUUUACUUCCAAGAUCCUUGAGAGAGUUAUGUAUGCGAGAUUGACAGACUUCUUUGAAUCCAACUCUCUGCUUGACCCACUUCAGUCUCGAUUCCACACGCAUCACGCUGUCGAAACGGCUGUGACCAAAGUAUCCAAUGAUUUCAUCACUGCUCAAUCUCGCAGCCAUUACUCUGUCCGAAGUCUCUUUGAUCUUUCUGCUGCCUUUGACACUUGAUCAUCAACAGCUUCUUCUCAUUCCUCGUAAUCUCGGUCUACGGGUGUGACAAACUACCUUUUCCCCAAGUGAGUUUGCCACGAGUUCCUGGAGGAGCCUGCUUGUCAGCCUCCUGCCCACCGACUAUGGACCCUGUAGAAUGUGAUGUAAAAUUCUCCGUUCAUGUAUUUGGACUGUAUGGUUCGGGAACUGAACAGCUGCACGAACUGGAGACCACCCUGGAGCUUGUUAAGCCUAAUUGAUACUUUGUAGCAAUUUCCACCACAGCGUUCGUCUGGGUGGCCGCCAUUUCUAUGGACGACCAUGAGGUGGCAGCCAUCUUGUUCACAUGAACACAGGCAGCGGUGUUUGGUCGUUGAGUUCAUGGAACUAUUUUCGGACACUGAAACUCCCGAACACCCCUGGACUUCCAUAAUCACCUGCGUUCGGUUCUAGGCAAUCUGCCUUUUGCUCUCUCCUGGUGCUCCUCCUACCUCUUCCAGCGCUCUUUUAGUGUUUCUUUCUCUGGCUCUGCCUCUUCUCCCCAACCUCUCUCUACUGGCAUUCCCCAAGGCUUUGUUGUGGUCCCCUACUGUUCUCUAUCUAUACUACCUCCCUCGGUAACUCAUUAGCUCCUCUGGCUUCCAUUAUCAUUAAUAUGCGGAUGACACACAAAUAUAUCUGUCCUCUCCUGAUCUCUCUCCACCUAUCUUGACUUGUGUCUCUGACUGACUUUCUGCAAUUUCCAACUAGAUGGCUGCUUACUUCCUUAAACUCAACCUGUCCAAAACAGAACUUCUGGUUUUUCCUUCCUCAAAUAAUGCUACUCCCGUGUCGGUCUCCCUCCAAGUCAAUGGCGCUACCAUCACCUUUAUCUUGCAGGCCUGCCUAUGUGUUCUAUUUGACUCCGACCUCUCCUUCACUCCUCAUGUCCAGUCAAUCGCAAAAUCCUGCCACUUUCAUCUAAAAAACAUAGCUCUCAUCCAUCCCUAUUUAACGCUGGACAUGGCUAAGGUGCUGUUCCAUGCCAUUUUUCUCUCUUGCCUUGACUACUGCAAACCCUUUCUCUGUGUUCUUACAUGUUCCCAGCUUUCACCAUUGCAAUCUAUAUUGAAUGCGGCGGCAAAGCUCAUCUUCCUGUCCACCCACACCUCCCAUGCCUCUCUCGUCUGUCACUCCCUAUAUUGGCAUCCAGUAAGAUAUAGAGUUUAAUUUAAAAUUCUGGUGCUUGCGUACAAGUCUCUACAUAAUACUGCUCCAACCUACCUAUCCACCCAAAUACACAAGUAUGUCCCAUCUAGGCCCCUGCGCUCUACUGAAGGCCUACAUCUAUCCUGUGUCUGUACUCCCACCUCUGAUGCUCGCUUUCAACACUUCUCCAGGGCUUUUCUGUGGAUCUCCCCUGCCUUCUAUGUUAGACUUUCACCCAGUCUCCAUUCUUUCAAAAAAUCAUUGAGAACUCACUUCUUCAUGAAAGUGUAUCAAUUAAACUAAUAGCUUUUCAUCCCCGCACCCUUACUCCUCUCUUGCAUAUGUCAAAAAUAACCUACUAAGCCCUUAGUGAAAACU
RNAcentral lists this long non-coding RNA (2586 nucleotides) under Pelobates cultripes (western spadefoot toad). The record is from RNAcentral. Lineage: Eukaryota; Metazoa; Chordata; Amphibia; Anura; Pelobatidae.